GGGGGGCAAGCGUUGUUCGGAAUUACUGGGCGUAAAGGGUUCGUAGGUGGCUUGCUAAGUCAGACGUGAAAUCCCUCAGCUUAACUGGGGAACUGCGUCUGAGACUGGUGAGCUUGAGUGCAGGAGAGGAACGCGGAAUUCCAGGUGUAGCGGUGAAAUGCGUAGAUAUGCGGAGGAACACCGAUGGCGAAGGCAAUCCCCUGGACCUGUACUGACGCUCAUGCACGAAAGCGUGGGGAGCAAACAGG
This 248-nucleotide ribosomal RNA is filed under the name uncultured bacterium. RNAcentral describes it as "partial 16S ribosomal RNA". It matches the Rfam family "Bacterial small subunit ribosomal RNA", at positions 529 to 776 of the family's 1533-position model. The record is from RNAcentral.